Molecule: ribosomal RNA, 253 nt
Filed under: uncultured bacterium
Lineage: Bacteria
Description: partial 16S ribosomal RNA
Rfam family: Bacterial small subunit ribosomal RNA
Source: RNAcentral
UACGUAGGUGGCAAGCGUUGUCCGGAUUUACUGGGCGUAAAGAGCGCGCAGGCGGUCGUGCAAGUCGCGUGUGAAAGCCCCCGGCUCAACUGGGGAGGGUCACGCGAUACUGCUCCACUCGAAGGCAGGAGAGGGAAGUGGAAUUCCCGGUGUAGUGGUGAAAUGCGUAGAUAUCGGGAGGAACACCAGUGGCGAAGGCGACUUCCUGGCCUGUUCUUGACGCUGAGGCGCGAAAGCUAGGGUAGCAAACGGG